This 486-nucleotide ribosomal RNA is filed under the name uncultured bacterium. RNAcentral describes it as "partial 16S ribosomal RNA". It matches the Rfam family "Bacterial small subunit ribosomal RNA", at positions 30 to 507 of the family's 1533-position model. The record is from RNAcentral.
AUUGAACGCUGGCGGCAUGCCUUACACAUGCAAGUCGAACGGCAGCACGGGUGCUUGCACCUGGUGGCGAGUGGCGAACGGGUGAGUAAUACAUCGGAACAUGUCCUGUAGUUGGGGUUAGCCCGGCGAAAGCCGGAUUAAUACCGCAUACGAUCUACGGAUGAAAGCGGGGGACGUUCGGGCUUCGCGCUAUAGGGUUGGCCGAUGGCUGAUUAGCUAGUUGGUGGGGUAAAGGCCUACCAAGGCGACGAUCAGUAGCCGGUCUGAGAGGGCGACCGGCGACACUGGGACUGAGACACGGCCCAGACUCCUACGGGAGGCAGCAGUGGGGAAUUUUGGACAAUGGGCGAAAGCCUGAUCCAGCAAUGCCGCGUGUGUGAAGAAGGCCUUCGGGUUGUAAAGCACUUUUGUCCGGAAAGAAAUCCUUGGCUCUAAUACAGUCGGGGGAUGACGGUACCGGAAGAAUAAGCACCGGCUAACUACGUG